This 442-nucleotide long non-coding RNA is filed under the name Cyanistes caeruleus (blue tit). Its description in RNAcentral is "lncRNA (ENSCCEG00000006121.1)". Lineage: Eukaryota; Metazoa; Chordata; Aves; Passeriformes; Paridae. The record is from RNAcentral.
AGGCACCAAAGAGAAGGGCAGUGGUUUAGCACUUCUGAGUGGAAACAUGGACGGGAUUCACUUUGGGACAACUUCAGACUGAUAAUUAGAGAGAAGCACUGUGAUGUGACAGAUCCUUGUUACUCCCACAAAGGUUUCUACAAUGUAGCAUCUACUAGUUUCCAUUGCUUCAAGUGUUUACCUCUAGAUGGCUUCCCAGGACAGUGCAUCUGCCUCCAGACCUGACUGAACGUGUGGACUGGAUUCCUUUUGAUGAAUCCUGGUCAUACCCCCAGAUAUAAACCCGAAUUUCUUUCCAGCCCAGCUGUCAAGACAAUACUGUGAGUUUUGAUAUCCUUGAGAUAUUUUGAUAUCCUCAAAGCUUUGCAUUUUAGGUCAUUUCUGAUUGCUGCCACAGCUCCUGGCUGGGGAUGAAUGUGCAGUUACAGCCUCCUCAGAAAAG